GUGCUCGCUUCAGCAGCACAUCCACUAAAAUUGGAACAAUACAGAGAAGAUUAGCAUGGCCCCCGUGCAAUGAUGACACGCAAAUUCGUGAUGCAUUCCAUAUUUUU
This 107-nucleotide small nuclear RNA is filed under the name Cervus elaphus hippelaphus. Lineage: Eukaryota; Metazoa; Chordata; Mammalia; Artiodactyla; Cervidae. The record is from RNAcentral. RNAcentral also lists the same sequence under 1 other name.